Molecule: long non-coding RNA, 1277 nt
Organism: Amphiprion ocellaris (clown anemonefish)
Lineage: Eukaryota; Metazoa; Chordata; Actinopteri; Pomacentridae
Source: Ensembl
UGUGAAUACAGUAGUAAGUUUUAUUCAAACUUUUUCUCAACGACAAAAGACAAGUGUCACAGUGAUUUGACAAAGGAAUAAAAGAAAAUGUAAAAAAUGAAAAGUGCUCGAAUACAAUCCGACUUGUUCCUCUCGUAGUAAAGAAACCAAACAGCUGCAGUGCUACUAUGAUGUUAAGUCGCACUCGUGGCGAGAAAUCAAAGAUGCAUAGGAGACCUGACGACGCCUCUCUGAAGGCUCCAGCUGUUACUGCAUGACCAAACAGAAGUAACACGUUCUACAGAAAAGUGACCACAAACAGCACAGAACAUGCUGAUUUCCAAAACAACAAAACUGCAUGUUAGUUUGAACAUCACAGGUAUUAAAAAUUAGACAAGAAUCAUGUAGAAAUUAGAAACUUGUGUUGGGAAAAAUGAAUUUUUUGGCCUGUCGAUGAUGAUGUGACAGCAGCAAAGGGAUUUUAACAGGGUAGCAUCAUUAGAGUGAGGUGUGCAGUGUUUCAAACAGGCUUCAAUUUGCACAAAUACUUAGAAAUGCAGCUUUUAAUUACCAAACACCUGAUCUUCUUGUAGUUACAAAGAAAAAUAAAUAAGUCAAUAAAUAAAUAGUUGGUUUUUUUAAACUUACAUCUGGAAGCUUUUGCUGCUCAGUUUUUUUUUUAUUUUUCACAGUCGUUUGACGUGACAUCUGAAACUUUAUCAGCCUUCCAACUAAAAAUCAGUAGUUCAUCCUCCUUGUUCUCGUUUUUCUUUUUCAGCUUGUUUUAUUUGACUGAUAGAAAAAGAAAACAGAGUGCAAAUGCUUUAUUUCACAAGAGGGAAUCAUUUAUCGCAGAGAAAUAAAAUUGAAAAAAAAUUGGAAAUGGAACUUUUAUCUUUUAACUGACAUCAAGAAAUAUUUCUAAAUUUUAGGAAAUAUGUUUAUUUGCUUGAAUACCGAGUUAAAUGAAAAGAAAAAAAGCUUUCAUUGCUGUAUGCUUAAAUCCUGGAAUCAAACAGUAGUUCACUUUUAAUCUCCAUCCUAUUUCACUGGAAAUGGUUAUGUUAUAUAAGUGGAAAGGAAAAAGGCUGAUGGGUACAAAUUGUACAUAUUUCUACUGAGUUAUUGAAUUUUUUUUUUUUCACACAAGUCAAAUACAUCCGUCCAUAUGGAUGCAAAUGCCGGAGUCGGAUCCAAAACUCAGAACUUCGUUACAACUCGAUGUCUGACAUCAACUUUAAGUUGAAAUACUUUAAAAGAAAACUGUCAUAUUUUCUUGCUUCCAUGUAAUUGUCAGC